Molecule: ribosomal RNA, 640 nt
Filed under: uncultured Bacteroidota bacterium
Lineage: Bacteria; Pseudomonadati; Bacteroidota
Description: bacterial SSU rRNA
Rfam family: Bacterial small subunit ribosomal RNA
Source: RNAcentral
GUCUUCGGACUUUGAGACCGGCGCACGGGUGCGUAACGCGUAUGCAAUCUGCCUUUCACAGAGGGAUAGCCCAGAGAAAUUUGGAUUAAUACCUCAUAGCAUUAUAGAGUGGCAUCACUUUAUAAUUAAAGUCACAACGGUGAAAGAUGAGCAUGCGUCCCAUUAGCUAGUUGGUAAGGUAACGGCUUACCAAGGCAACGAUGGGUAGGGGUCCUGAGAGGGAGAUCCCCCACACUGGUACUGAGACACGGACCAGACUCCUACGGGAGGCAGCAGUGAGGAAUAUUGGUCAAUGGGCGCAAGCCUGAACCAGCCAUGCCGCGUGCAGGAUGACGGUCCUAUGGAUUGUAAACUGCUUUUGUACGGGAAGAAACACUCCGACGUGUCGGAGCUUGACGGUACCGUAAGAAUAAGGAUCGGCUAACUCCGUGCCAGCAGCCGCGGUAAUACGGAGGAUCCAAGCGUUAUCCGGAAUCAUUGGGUUUAAAGGGUCCGUAGGCGGUCUGGUAAGUCAGUGGUGAAAGCCCAUCGCUCAACGGUGGAACGGCCAUUGAUACUGCUGGACUUGAAUUACUGGGAAGCAACUAGAAUAUGUAGUGUAGCGGUGAAAUGCUUAGAGAUUACAUGGAAUACCAAUUGC